Molecule: ribosomal RNA, 482 nt
Filed under: uncultured bacterium
Lineage: Bacteria
Description: partial 16S ribosomal RNA
Rfam family: Bacterial small subunit ribosomal RNA
Source: RNAcentral
AUUGAACGCUGGCGGCAUGCUUUACACAUGCAAGUCGAACGGUAACAGGCCGCAAGGUGCUGACGAGUGGCGCACGGGUGAGUAAUGCAUCGGAACGUGCCCAGUCGUGGGGGAUAACUACUCGAAAGAGUAGCUAAUACCGCAUACGAUCUAUGGAUGAAAGCGGGGGACCGUAAGGCCUCGCGCGAUUGGAGCGGCCGAUGUCAGAUUAGGUAGUUGGUGGGGUAAAGGCUCACCAAGCCAACGAUCUGUAGCUGGUCUGGGAGGACGACCAGCCACACUGGGACUGAGACACGGCCCAGACUCCUACGGGAGGCAGCAGUGGGGAAUUUUGGACAAUGGGCGCAAGCCUGAUCCAGCAAUGCCGCGUGCAGGAAGAAGGCCUUCGGGUUGUAAACUGCUUUUGUACGGAACGAAACGGCUCUGGUUAAUACCCGGGGCUAAUGACGGUACCGGAAGAAUAAGCACCGGCUAACUACGUG